UUUGCAAUAAACUUUCACUGUCACACGUUCUCAUGUUGAUGCCGGAGCUUGCAAUCACUACUUUCUCCACUUUUUCAGGCCACAUUUUUGCCAUAUGGUACGCCACAAAUCCGCCAUAGCUUGUUCCAACUACAUUAAACUUCUUCUCUAUUCCUAGUUUCUCCAUUAGCUUUGCCAUACACUCCGCCUAAUAAUUUAUUUUUUGUUUCUAAUAAGAAUGUGUUUAUAUACUAAAAUGAGUUCAUAUAUGAUAUAAAAAGAGCAAACACAUCAAAUUUCUAAAGAAUAUCCAUCCAGUAUGGACUAACUUUUAUGUUUCCUUUCAAGUUUGAUUUAUAUCAAAUAUAUUAAUCAGUAGAAUUUAAGAAUAGUUACAAAUUUACAAUAUAUAUAUAUAUAUAUAUAUAUAUAUGUUAAGUAGAAUAAAAUUCAAAUUAGUCGACAAAAAAAGAGAAAAAAAAUCAUAUUAAGAAUUAAGUUCCAAAUAUAUUUUUCCCAUAUGUUAAAAGGGCAUAUGUAAAUAAAUUAAUCUUCUGUUUUUAUAUUUACUAAAACUACUUUUCACGUGACCAGAAAACAAUACUAGUUCAAAUCCAAUCAUCCUAGUGGAAAACAUGUGGAAGCAAAAGAGUCAUAUAUACCUGGAAGACCUCGGAACGAUUGGUGGAUGAAGUGGUAGAGUCACC
This 686-nucleotide long non-coding RNA is filed under the name Brassica rapa (field mustard). RNAcentral's name for it is "long non-coding RNA (BRAP_LNC000059)". Lineage: Eukaryota; Viridiplantae; Streptophyta; Magnoliopsida; Brassicales; Brassicaceae. The record is from RNAcentral.